AUGGCUCUGCAACUGCAUCAUGAAAAUGUAGUAAAGUUGGAGGGCUACUGCCAUGAAGCCCAAAAGAAAGUGGUGCAGAACAAUGGAAGAUAUAUUGUUGCAGACAUUGUUGAAAGUUUACUCUGCUACGAGUACUUGCCGCAGGGGAACCUUCAGAAGAAUCUUUUUGAAGUAUCCAAUGAUGGAAUGGACUGGGACACACGCUUCAAAAUCAUCAAGGGGAUCUACCAAGGUUUAGCCUUCCUACACAGCAUUAACAUUGUCCAUAUGGAUCUUAAACCUGAGAACAUAUUGCUGGAUGAUAAGAUGAUCCCGAAAAUUGCUGAUUUCGGUCUCUCGAGACUCUUCGGCCAAGAACAAACACGGAUGAAAACACAAAAUGUUGUUGGAUCGUAG
RNAcentral lists this ribosomal RNA (396 nucleotides) under Triticum aestivum (bread wheat). RNAcentral's name for it is "partial small subunit ribosomal RNA". The record is from RNAcentral. Lineage: Eukaryota; Viridiplantae; Streptophyta; Magnoliopsida; Poales; Poaceae.